RNAcentral lists this ribosomal RNA (821 nucleotides) under uncultured Gammaproteobacteria bacterium. RNAcentral describes it as "bacterial SSU rRNA". It matches the Rfam family "Bacterial small subunit ribosomal RNA". The record is from RNAcentral. Lineage: Bacteria; Pseudomonadati; Pseudomonadota; Gammaproteobacteria.
GGCAGCACAGUAAGAGCUUGCUCUUAUGGGUGGCGAGUGGCGGACGGGUGAGGAAUACGUCGGAAUCUACCUUUUCGUGGGGGAUAACGUAGGGAAACUUACGCUAAUACCGCAUACGACCUUCGGGUGAAAGCAGGGGACCUUCGGGCCUUGCGCGGAUAGAUGGGCCGAUGUCGGAUUAGCUAGUUGGCGGGGUAAAGGCCCACCAAGGCGACGAUCCGUAGCUGGUCUGAGAGGAUGAUCAGCCACACUGGAACUGAGACACGGUCGAGACUCCUACGGGAGGCAGCAGUGGGGAAUAUUGGACAAUGGGCGCAAGCCUGAUCCAGCCAUACCGCGUGGGUGAAGAAGGCCUUCGGGUUGUAAAGCCCUUUUGUUGGGAAAGAAAAGCCGUCGGCUAAUACCCGGUUGUUCUGACCGUACCCAAAGAAUAGGCACCGGCUAACUUCGUGCCAGCAGCCGCGGUAAUGCGAACGGUGCAAGCGUUACUCGGAAUUACUGGGCGUAAAGCGUGCGUAGGUGGGUGUUUAAGCCUGUUGUGAAUUCCUGGGCUCACCUGGGAUUGCAGUGGAUCGGGGCGACUAGGUGUGUCGAGGGGAUGGAAUUCCCGGUGUCUGGUGAAGGCUUAGAGAUCGGAGGAAAUCCUGGCCAAGCAGCUACUGGCCAACCUGAUCUGAUGUCGACGCGUGGGAGAAACGGAUAGAUCCCUGGUCUCCAACGCUAACGUGCCAGUGUCGUCGGUGCAUUUGCACGUUUAUCAAGCUACGACUAAUUCCCGCCAGGGAUACGGCACAGAUCAACUCAAUGAUUGCGGGCAAGCG